GAGUUUGAUCGUGGCUCAGGACGAACGCUGGCGGCGUGCUUAACACAUGCAAGUCGAGCGGAGAGGCCCUUCGGGGUACUCGAGCGGCGAACGGGUGAGUAACACGUGAGCAACCUGCCCUAGGCUUUGGGAUAACCCUCGGAAACGGGGGCUAAUACCGAAUAUUACUUGGUCUCGCAUGAGGUUGGGUGGAAAGUUUUUCGGCCUAGGAUGGGCUCGCGGCCUAUCAGCUUGUUGGUGGGGUAAUGGCCUACCAAGGCGACGACGGGUAGCCGGCCUGAGAGGGCGACCGGCCACACUGGGACUGAGACACGGCCCAGACUCCUACGGGAGGCAGCAGUGGGGAAUAUUGCACAAUGGGCGGAAGCCUGAUGCAGCGACGCCGCGUGAGGGAUGACGGCCUCGGUUGUAACCGUACUUUCUAGUCAGGACGAAGACGAGAGUGACGGUACC
This 453-nucleotide ribosomal RNA is filed under the name uncultured bacterium. RNAcentral describes it as "bacterial SSU rRNA". It matches the Rfam family "Bacterial small subunit ribosomal RNA", at positions 9 to 479 of the family's 1533-position model. The record is from RNAcentral.